GCCUGUAAGACUGGGAUAACUCCGGGAAACCGGGGCUAAUACCGGAUGGUUGUUUGAACCGCAUGGUUCAGACAUAAAAGGUGGCUUCGGCUACCACUUACAGAUGGACCCGCGGCGCAUUAGCUAGUUGGUGAGGUAACGGCUCACCAAGGCAACGAUGCGUAGCCGACCUGAGAGGGUGAUCGGCCACACUGGGACUGAGACACGGCCCAGACUCCUACGGGAGGCAGCAGUAGGGAAUCUUCCGCAAUGGACGAAAGUCUGACGGAGCAACGCCGCGUGAGUGAUGAAGGUUUUCGGAUCGUAAAGCUCUGUUGUUAGGGAAGAACAAGUGCCGUUCAAAUAGGGCGGCACCUUGACGGUACCUAACCAGAAAGCCACGGCUAACUACGUGCCAGCAGCCGCGGUAAUACGUAGGUGGCAAGCGUUGUCCGGAAUUAUUGGGCGUAAAGGGCUCGCAGGCGGUUUCUUAAGUCUGAUGUGAAAGCCCCCGGCUCAACCGGGGAGGGUCAUUGGAAACUGGGGAACUUGAGUGCAGAAGAGGAGAGUGGAAUUCCACGUGUAGCGGUGAAAUGCGUAGAGAUGUGGAGGAACACCAGUGGCGAAGGCGACUCUCUGGUCUGUAACUGACGCUGAGGAGCGAAAGCGUGGGGAGCGAACAGGAUUAGAUACCCUGGUAGUCCACGCCGUAAACGAUGAG
This 700-nucleotide ribosomal RNA is filed under the name Bacillus sp. (in: firmicutes). RNAcentral describes it as "bacterial SSU rRNA". It matches the Rfam family "Bacterial small subunit ribosomal RNA", at positions 128 to 813 of the family's 1533-position model. Lineage: Bacteria; Bacillati; Bacillota; Bacilli; Caryophanales; Bacillaceae. The record is from RNAcentral.